RNAcentral lists this ribosomal RNA (378 nucleotides) under uncultured Erysipelothrix sp. RNAcentral's name for it is "bacterial SSU rRNA". It matches the Rfam family "Bacterial small subunit ribosomal RNA", at positions 997 to 1382 of the family's 1533-position model. Lineage: Bacteria; Bacillati; Bacillota; Erysipelotrichia; Erysipelotrichales; Erysipelotrichaceae. The record is from RNAcentral.
GCUCUAGAGAUAGAGUGGAGGUUUAUCCGGGAUACAGGUGGUGCAUGGUUGUCGUCAGCUCGUGUCGUGAGAUGUUGGGUUAAGUCCCGCAACGAGCGCAACCCUUGUCUUUAGUUACCAUCAUUAAGUUGGGGACUCUAGAGAGACUGCCGGUGAUAAACCGGAGAAGUGGGGAUGACGUCAAAUCAUCAUGCCCCUUAUGGCCUGGGCUACAAACGUAAUACAAUGGCGUAUACAAAGGGAUGCGAAAGGGCGACCUGGAGCAAAACUCACAAAGUACGUCUCAGUUCAGAUUGGAGUCUGCAACUCGACUCCAUGAAGGCGGAAUCGCUAGUAAUCGCGGAUCAGCAUGCCGCGGUGAAUACGUUCUCGGGGUUU